UCGGGAACCAGGUGUCCAGGGGACAACUCCUGAGCCUCUUGGGAGAGAUGAGCCCAGAGAAUGGUUCUAGAUUUCUUCUGGGCUUUGCACAGAGGGUGGAGGGGAAAGGGCCGGUCCUGACCUGCAAAGAGUGGAGACAGGAGAGAGACCCACGUUCCAGCUUCUGUGUCUACUGUCGUGGGUGCUCCAGCGUGGAGACGGGUCUGAGGCCAAGCAUCUCACAGCACCGCUCUUCCUCCCUGGAGCACCAGGGAAGGAACUGGAAACGAGGCUGGUUGCUGCUGCUUCAAGACUGAUACAGCCACCACACUGGGAAGAAGGUGGGACCAGGACGCUUCUAGCGACAUCGCCUGCACCAGCUCAUGCCCUUCGCACGGCAGCAGUGGAGCAGCACCUGGUUCUGUUUUCACUUGAGAGAAUGUACAAGACGAAAGGCAGCAGCCAACCUGCCGCAGAGAGGCCUCACACGACGCAGAGGUUGGGCCCCGCCUCCUCCUGCGAGGCCAAGGCUGUCUCGGUCUGUUAGACACGGGCAGUCGCAGGGCAUGGCAUCUGCAGGGCAGAGACCCUGAGCCAGUGUCAGUCUUAGGUUAUUACAGCUGUCCAGGGGUUUACAGUUAAGAAACAUUUUUUUUUUUUAGGAAUAUAAAAAUAUUUAUUGACCGCUGUUCACCAGUAUUUACAAUAAACAGUAUACAGUUGGAUACCAUUCUGAUUACUACAAGGCUGUUCUUCCUGGCUUCUGCAGAACCAGCAACCCAAAUACUGAAAAGAUUGAGCCUACAUGUAAGAAAUGAAUUGGGGUAAGAAAAAAC
Lemur catta (Ring-tailed lemur) is the source of this 815-nucleotide long non-coding RNA. RefSeq lists it as uncharacterized. NCBI's taxonomy places the organism in Eukaryota, Metazoa, Chordata, Mammalia, Primates, Lemuridae. The record is from RefSeq and is a predicted model, not a curated record. The transcript is spliced from 6 exons.